GGGCACUUUGGACAUGGGCGAACCCUGAUCCAGCCAUGCCGCGUGUGUGAAUAAGGUCUUCGGAUUGUAAAGCACUUUAAGUUGGGAGGAAGGGCAGUAAGUUUAUACCUUGCUGUUUUGACGUUACCGACAGAAUAAGCACCGGCUAACC
This 151-nucleotide ribosomal RNA is filed under the name Pseudomonas sp. Iw-2-1. RNAcentral's name for it is "partial 16S rRNA". It matches the Rfam family "Bacterial small subunit ribosomal RNA", at positions 357 to 502 of the family's 1533-position model. The record is from RNAcentral. Lineage: Bacteria; Pseudomonadati; Pseudomonadota; Gammaproteobacteria; Pseudomonadales; Pseudomonadaceae.